Molecule: unclassified non-coding RNA, 407 nt
Filed under: soil metagenome
Description: partial contains 5.8S ribosomal RNA, internal transcribed spacer 2, and large subunit ribosomal RNA
Rfam family: 5.8S ribosomal RNA (bases 1-120)
Source: RNAcentral
GAUGAAGAACGUAGUGAAAUGCGAUAAGUAAUGUGAAUUGCAGAAUUCAGUGAAUCAUCGAAUCUUUGAACGCACCUUGCGCUCCUUGGUAUUCCGAGGAGCAUGCCUGUUUGAGUGUCGUGUAAUUCUCAAUCCCGUUUGGUUUUGAAUCGAACGUGGAUUGGACUUGGGAGCUUGCUGUGCCUGUUUCUUGGUUCGGCUCUCCUUGAAUGCAUUAGCUCGGUCACGUAGUUGCCCGACGGUUCACGGUGUGAUAGUCAUUCAUCGCCGUUCUGACCGUUUCGGUGCCUGUGUCUGCCGGCUUCUAAUCCGUGUGUUGUCCUUUGUUGGAUGAUGCACUCUUUGACAAUUGACCUCAAAUCAGGUAGGAUUACCCGCUGAACUUAAGCAUAUCAAUAAGCGGAGGA